Molecule: non-coding RNA, 81 nt
Organism: Camelina sativa (false flax)
Lineage: Eukaryota; Viridiplantae; Streptophyta; Magnoliopsida; Brassicales; Brassicaceae
Source: RefSeq, a predicted model, not a curated record
ACGACGAUGACGAAGACGAUGAGGACUUCGGAGGUGAAGGAGAAGUUGGAAAUGAGUAUUCAAAGCCAAGUAGAAGCGAGA